AUUAAUAAAUCAUAUCACCCUGUAGCCCAAGACUGGUUGCCCACUGAAGCUAAGCAGGGUUGAGCCUGGUCAGUACCUGGAUGGGAGACCUCCUUGGAAAACUAGGUUGCUGUUGGAA
This is a ribosomal RNA of Sinocyclocheilus rhinocerous, 118 nucleotides long. NCBI's taxonomy places the organism in Eukaryota, Metazoa, Chordata, Actinopteri, Cypriniformes, Cyprinidae. The record is from Ensembl.